This is a non-coding RNA of Notechis scutatus (mainland tiger snake), 327 nucleotides long. NCBI's taxonomy places the organism in Eukaryota, Metazoa, Chordata, Lepidosauria, Squamata, Elapidae. The record is from RefSeq and is a predicted model, not a curated record.
CUCAAUAGAUUCUGUAUUUGUUAUAGAUAUUGGGGGGAAAUGUGGAAACCCACCUCCCGUGGAGAAUGGAGAAAUUGUGGAGAUACCCAAGGCAACCUAUUUCCCGUCUGAAACUGUAACUUAUCAGUGCCAAAAUUUCUAUACAAUGGAAGGUUCUCCAAAAGUGACUUGUCAAAAUGGUCAUUGGUCACAACCACCUACAUGUAGAGUUGCUUGUACAGUAAAUGACGAAGAUAUGAGAGAACACAAUAUAAGUCUGAAGUGGAGCUACAGGAAUAAAAUAUAUGUUCCAGAUGGAGGAACAGUAGAAUUUGUAUGUUUAAGAGG